This 559-nucleotide long non-coding RNA is filed under the name Homo sapiens (human). Its description in RNAcentral is "HSALNT0377702". Lineage: Eukaryota; Metazoa; Chordata; Mammalia; Primates; Hominidae. The record is from RNAcentral.
GGCCUGGGCUGGGCAGAGCAUCUUCAGCCCACCCAAGUAAUCUUGCACCCAUUCGGUCUCUGUUACCCUCCCGCCUAAGCCCAGAAGCCCACAGGCCCGGGACUUGCUGUCCUCAGACCUAGGAUACUUCCCACUCCAAGCCCCAAAUCCUACCCUGCCGUUCCCAGCCCUUCUCCAGCACCCCUCCCUCUUCACAAAGGCUGCUUGGCGGUUUCUCUCCGCCCUCCCCAAGACUGCUCUUGGGAGGGUAUGUUGCUUUCCCAGACAAGCUCAGCGAUGCAAUUUCUCCUCCUAAGAGUUUCACGGAUCGCGGCCACGGGGAGCACAAGCGCCACCUGCUGGCCCACAGCGAGAUUCCAAGAGAGGACGAGACCUGAGCACAACCAGCUCAAGACGCACAGUCCCCGGUCACCGUCAAUCAAGUGUCCGGUCCUCCAUUUCGCUUUGGUUUUUCUCAUUGUUGGAGUUUUUUUUUUUAUUGAUACAUCAUAGUUAUACAUAUUUUGGGGGUGUCUGUGAUUUUUUAAAUUUAAUUUAUUUCUUAUUCUGUUUCUUCCCC